GUGGGGAAUCUUAGACAAUGGGGGCAACCCUGAUCUAGCCAUGCCGCGUGAGUGAUGAAGGCCUUAGGGUUGUAAAGCUCUUUCAGUGGGGAAGAUAAUGACGGUACCCACAGAAGAAGCCCCGGCUAACUCCGUGCCAGCAGCCGCGGUACUACGGAGGGGGCUAGCGUUGUUCGGAAUUACUGGGCGUAAAGCGCACGUAGGCGGAUCGGAAAGUUGGGGGUGAAAUCCCAGGGCUCAACCCUGGAACUGCCUUCAAAACUAUCGGUCUGGAGUCCGAGAGAGGUGAGUGGAAUUCCGAGUGUAGAGGUGAAAUUCGUAGAUAUUCGGAGGAACACCAGUGGCGAAGGCGGCUCACUGGCUCGGUACUGACGCUGAGGUGCGAAAGCGUGGGGAGCAAACAGGAUUAGAAACCCCUGUAGUCC
RNAcentral lists this ribosomal RNA (425 nucleotides) under uncultured bacterium. RNAcentral's name for it is "partial 16S ribosomal RNA". It matches the Rfam family "Bacterial small subunit ribosomal RNA", at positions 354 to 796 of the family's 1533-position model. The record is from RNAcentral.